RNAcentral lists this unclassified non-coding RNA (21 nucleotides) under Mus musculus (house mouse). RNAcentral describes it as "oocyte_clustered_small_RNA9838". Lineage: Eukaryota; Metazoa; Chordata; Mammalia; Rodentia; Muridae. The record is from RNAcentral.
UUCUGGCCUUCUGAUGCACCU